GCGCUGUGUGUGUGUCGGUUUGCAAGAAGAGGCUGGCUGUGGAAGCCUCCCUUGGCUACACGUAGAGAAUUCUGGUCUAGAUCCAGCAAGCAGCGUUAGCCACGUGUCAAAGGCACCCAGCGUUGUGUCUGCAAGCAAAUGGCUCGUGUGGAUUGGUCAACCUAAACCAUGGACGUAGGCGCUCAAUAAGCCUAACUCCUCCAAUGCUGGCUAAAUCAGAAAUAAAGGCAUCCGCUCAA
RNAcentral lists this long non-coding RNA (239 nucleotides) under Rattus norvegicus (Norway rat). RNAcentral's name for it is "long non-coding RNA NONRATT023234". Lineage: Eukaryota; Metazoa; Chordata; Mammalia; Rodentia; Muridae. The record is from RNAcentral.